AACUGGGAUUAGAUACCCCACUAUGCUCAGCCGUAAACUUUUACUUACACCUAAUCGCCAGGGAACUACGAGCCAAGCUUAAAACCCAAAGGACUUGACGGUACCCCAUAUCCCCCUAGAGGAGCCUGUCCUAUAAUCGAUAAUCCACGUUUAACCUCACCAUUUUUAGUUAAUCAGCCUGUAUACCUCCGUCGUCAGCUUACCACGUGAGCGUCAAUUAGUGAGCCUAAUGUUAUUUCACCAAUACGUCAGGUCAAGGUGCAGCAAAUGAAAUGGGAAGAGAUGGGCUACACUUUCUAUUUUAGAAGAUACGAAAAACUACCUAUGAAAACUAGUUAGAAGGCGGAUUUAGUAGUAAAAAGGAAUCAGCAUGUCCAUUUUAACCUGGCACUGGGGUGUGUACACACCGCCCGUCACC
The sequence is a ribosomal RNA, 418 nucleotides long. It matches the Rfam family "Bacterial small subunit ribosomal RNA", at positions 770 to 1401 of the family's 1533-position model.